AAGCAAAUCCCGAUUAGCACCUCCACAGUAACAAUAAUAAUAAUUCAAUAUAAGCAGGAAAUAUAAUGUUUCAAACAAAAGAAAGGAGAUGAAGAUGAAAAAACAAACAAUUUGUUUCAAGGAUUUUAAACCUGCAUCGAAAGCCAACAACCAGCAAAGAAUAAGUUUGCAACGAAAGGAAAAUCAAAUUUAAGCUUGGAAACCUUCAAAAACGACCUCAAAUCCUAAAGGCCAUAUAUAAUUCAUCAGUUCACCACAUACAAUGAUUCUCAGGGAAGCAAAUCAUAAAAUCGAA
RNAcentral lists this unclassified non-coding RNA (295 nucleotides) under Hevea brasiliensis (rubber tree). Lineage: Eukaryota; Viridiplantae; Streptophyta; Magnoliopsida; Malpighiales; Euphorbiaceae. The record is from RNAcentral.